CUGGAACUGAAGAACUAUCCAUAUUAUCACUGAUCUAGUGAGUAAAUCAUAUAGAUUAAUCUUAGUUAAUAGUACUCAAGGGAGCCUCAUAUGCAAAAUAAACAUUUUCUAAUCUGUAAACAUUUUUAGUAACUAAAAAUGUUUCAGGGAUUUCAAAGAUAGGAACAGCCAAUAUAUAGAUAUUAUAUAUUAAUGUGAACACAAUUAUUGAAAGUUAACCUCUGUAUGGAAAGUAUUAAUGAGCCAAGAUGUGCCUAAAUAUUAGGGUACUUCAAGCUGACACACACUUUAGAAUAUGGGAGUUAAACAUAAUGUAUGUGAUAGAAUAGGAUGACUGGUGCUUGCCCUCAACUUGUAGGACGGUAUUGCUUAGGUUACAUUAACCUGAAAUUAAAGUGUAACUGUUAGGCUCAGGCCUACACAUACAUAAUUAAAAUCUAUACUAUGUUAGUGCUACCAUGAAGUUUCAACUUAUUUGCUAUUUUUUCAACAAGAAAAGCAUACACAAGCCUUUUAUUUGAGAUGCUGAAGGAAACUAAAAGGCUGUGGCAGUGUGCAAAGGUGAUCAGAGGGUCUUAGUGAGGCACAGGGCGGUCCUCCUCCCUCCUUCAGUGCUGGUCUUCAGUCUGUCUGUGAGGCCCUGGAUGCAGGCUGUGGCCUGUAAGAGCCUGGGUGCUGCACGAACAGUGUGCUUUUGUGUGUUGAACUGUAGCAUCUCUGUAGAAAAUGCCACAGUGGUCUCUCACCCGCUUCCACUGCUGCCCUCUCAUCUAUCACCUUUCUUUCUUUCCAUCCCUCUUCCCCUCUCCCAUCCUCCUAUAUUUUUCAACAAGAUGAAGAUUAUUGGGUAAGAAAAAAAAUUGAAGUGAUUUAUCAGAACAUUAUGUAUAAUUUUAAAGGUAAACCCAGAAGUUUCUUAGUGUCUCCUUUUAUUAUAGGCAUUAUGUGUACUUUAGUGAUUGUAGAACUUGAAUUGCUCUAGAAUGUGAAUUAAUUUGUGUUUUAUUCCUUUUGAGUUGCUUUGUAAAGAGUCUCCUAUGAGGAAUUCUCUUUUCAAAAUUUAAUAUUGUGUGGUUUCUUCCCUGGCUUUAGUAAAAGAUUAAUUAGAGGACUUACUCUGCUAGUGUCUAACUUAAACUCUAAGUUUAUCUUUUACAUUAGGACAGGUUAUUGAAAGUUCUGCUGCAUAUUAUAGCAGUUAAGACUCAAUCUUAGAAGUGAAUUUCCUAGCAUCUUUUUUUACUGAUGUCCAGGACACAGUUAAAGCAUGUUCUUAGGGUGCAGCAGGAAUAGCAGAGUAACUAGCUGCUAUCAGGUGCUGGGAGAGCAGGGUAUAGAGAGGAGAUGGAGAGUAGUCAAUGGGACAUUUUAUAUGUUUGUUUAACUCCAUAUUUAUUAUUUUGUAGAGACAUUUGUGAUUGUUUAGUUAUUGUUUUUUAUCAUAUUUAUGUAUAAGGUUGACUUUUUAAAAAAUAAAUAAGCCAAAAAUUGUUUUUG
RNAcentral lists this long non-coding RNA (1497 nucleotides) under Rattus norvegicus (Norway rat). RNAcentral's name for it is "long non-coding RNA NONRATT002203". The record is from RNAcentral. Lineage: Eukaryota; Metazoa; Chordata; Mammalia; Rodentia; Muridae.